GAUGAACGCUGGCGGCGUGCCUAAUACAUGCAAGUCGAGCGAACAGAUGAGGAGCUUGCUCCUCUGACGUUAGCGGCGGACGGGUGAGUAACACAUGGAUAACCUACCUAUAAGACUGGGAUAACUUCGGGAAACCGGAGCUAAUACCGGAUAAUAUAUUGAACCGCAUGGUUCAAUAGUGAAAGACGGUUUUGCUGUCACUUAUAGAUGGAUCCGCGCCGCAUUAGCUAGUUGGUAAGGUAACGGCUUACCAAGGCGACGAUGCGUAGCCGACCUGAGAGGGUGAUCGGCCACACUGGAACUGAGACACGGUCCAGACUCCUACGGGAGGCAGCAGUAGGGAAUCUUCCGCAAUGGGCGAAAGCCUGACGGAGCAACGCCGCGUGAGUGAUGAAGGUCUUCGGAUCGUAAAACUCUGUUAUUAGGGAAGAACAAAUGUGUAAGUAACUAUGCACGUCUUGACGGUACCUAAUCAGAAAGCCACGGCUAACUACGU
Molecule: ribosomal RNA, 496 nt
Filed under: uncultured bacterium
Lineage: Bacteria
Description: partial 16S ribosomal RNA
Rfam family: Bacterial small subunit ribosomal RNA
Source: RNAcentral